Long non-coding RNA from Uranotaenia lowii, 1162 nucleotides. RefSeq lists it as uncharacterized. The record is from RefSeq and is a predicted model, not a curated record. The transcript has 3 exons. Lineage: Eukaryota; Metazoa; Arthropoda; Insecta; Diptera; Culicidae.
CACCUGUAAUAUAAACUGUUUUUCAUUUACUUUUAGACUAGUCAAUUAAUAUUCUCCUGGCAUCCCAGUUAGUUUUCAAAAACAAGAAACGGGCAUGUUUGUUUACGUUUUUGUCUUUGAUUCGGAUGUUUUGUGUUUCGUUUUAAUCCGGAUGUUUUGUGCCGCAACUCUGAUAGUUGCUCAGUUGUCGAAAAUUUUAUUUACGCCGUCGUGCAGCCGAGGCCCACCGGUCAAAUAAAGCAGCGAAGGAGGAUUUAUUAAGCAGCACCCGCAGCACCGUUCACCGUUUAUGCGAGGCGACCAAUAAGCACGGAUGUUUAGGAAAAUGUUAUCAAUCCUCCCGAUCAGCAGCAGCAGUUUUCCAGCAUCACCCUUUCAAGCAGCAGCCUAGCAACAGCUGACUAUGAAGACUCCUUCCGGUUUUUCCGGCCUAUUUGCCCCAACAUGGCCAAACAAUCAGCUGUAGCAAUAUGUAAAUCGAUAUCAAUCCGACUGUGACUGAUGCGCGGUAGCAGGCACGACGGGAUAAAAACGCCAACUGGAGGAGGUCAACGAUCCGAAAGUGUAUAAUUCCAACGGUAGAAAAGAGGACAGCGAAUCUCACAAUCCAAAUGUGGAGGAUACCUCUGCCGUUGCAUAAUCGGGUCUGCCCUUGUUCCGGAAAGUAACAUCUUCUCUCAUGAAAAGAAAUAUUGAGCGUCACAACAAUUGUAGCUUUCACUGUACUAGCAGCAAUGGAUCGCAAUUACGCGGGAUCUUGGAAGGAAAAGAAAAAAACCAUCCGGCUUCCACAGAACGAGCUGUUUGGUCUCUGCUCCUGAUCCGAUGGAAGCUCACGGAAUGACGCCAAAAGUAAUGCCAGCAGAAAGGAACAGAAACGAAAAAACUGCAGCAACAUAAAAAAUCAAGAUUUCCAGGGAAUUCCGGAAGUCUUACAAAUAUUUGUCUUUGGUACAAGUAAGUCCUCUUCGGCCAUGGAUCGAAUGGUUUUAGUGUAAUUUUGUGAACGAGUGACUUUUAUUUUAGUGAUGUAAGCCAUUUAUGUAUGUAUAUUUUUUUUCAAUUCAAUUCUGAUAAAGAAUAAUAAAUAUAAAUUCGAAUCAAUUUUUUUUUGCUUUUUAUUAAAUUCGAAAAAUAACCAUUCGGCAGAACCAAACAAAAA